RNAcentral lists this ribosomal RNA (406 nucleotides) under uncultured bacterium. Its description in RNAcentral is "partial 16S ribosomal RNA". It matches the Rfam family "Bacterial small subunit ribosomal RNA", at positions 30 to 526 of the family's 1533-position model. The record is from RNAcentral.
AUUGAACGCUGGCGGCAGGCCUAACACAUGCAAGUCGAACGAGUGGCGGACGGGUGAGUAAUGUCUGGGAAACUGCCUGAUGGAGGGGGAUAACUACUGGAAACGGUAGCUUAUACCGCAUACCCUCGGAUGUGCCCAGAUGGGUUUAGCUAGUGGGGGGGGUAACGGCUCAUCUAGGCGACUAUCCCUAGCUGGUCUGAGAGGAUGACCAGCCACACUGGAACUGAGACACGGUCCAGACGCCUACGGGAGGCAGCAGUGGGGAAUAUUGCACCAGGGGCGCAAGCCUGAUGCAGCCAUGCCGCGUGUAUGAAGAAGGCCUUCGGGUUGUAAAGUACUUUCAGCGGGGAGGCGUUACCCGCAGAAGAAGCACCGGCUAACUCCGUGCCAGCAGCCGCGGUAAUUC